ACCAAAUGGCGGAUGAAACUUAGCCAUUUUUUUGCGAUUUUUUUUGCGUCGGCUGACUAAGCGGUCAGCCAUGUUUUCAUUUCGUUCGUGGCAGGUGCUGGUUUUUUUUUAUCCGGGUCGCAAAAUUGGCCUCAGAUGGCCAUCUUCCGGAUUGGUCCGAUGGUCCGACGAUACAUCUUGCCAGUUCAUACUCAAGCCGGCGGAUUAUCUGGUCCGCAAAAUUGGCCUCCGAUGGUCAUCUUUGGGGUCGAAUAGUCUUCCGACGGGACCACCGAAGGGAAGAGCAAUCUUUCUACUUCAUACUCAAGCCGGCUGCUUGCUCCGAUUAUCCGGGCUGCAAAAUUGGUCUCCGAUGGCCAUCUUUGGGAUCAAA
Molecule: long non-coding RNA, 373 nt
Organism: Ochlerotatus camptorhynchus
Lineage: Eukaryota; Metazoa; Arthropoda; Insecta; Diptera; Culicidae
Exons: 3
Source: RefSeq, a predicted model, not a curated record